AGCUUUGCGCAGUGGCAGUAUCGUGGCCAGUGAGGUUUAUCCGAGGCGCAAUUAUUGCUUAAAAAAAAAAAGUAUCUUGUCCUAGCUCAGUGAUGGCGAACCUUUUGAGCUUGGCGUGUCAGCAUUUUGAAAAACCCUAACUUAACUCUGGU
Molecule: small nuclear RNA, 152 nt
Filed under: Myotis brandtii (Brandt's bat)
Lineage: Eukaryota; Metazoa; Chordata; Mammalia; Chiroptera; Vespertilionidae
Description: U4 spliceosomal RNA
Rfam family: U4 spliceosomal RNA (bases 1-122)
About the family: U4 small nuclear RNA (U4 snRNA) is a component of the major U2-dependent spliceosome.
Source: Rfam by way of RNAcentral